This 428-nucleotide ribosomal RNA is filed under the name uncultured bacterium. Its description in RNAcentral is "bacterial SSU rRNA". It matches the Rfam family "Bacterial small subunit ribosomal RNA", at positions 355 to 775 of the family's 1533-position model. The record is from RNAcentral.
UGGGGAAUAUUGGACAAUGGGCGCAAGCCUGAUCCAGCAACGCCGCGUGGAGGAUGAAGGUCUUCGGAUCGUAAACUCCUGUCAGGUGGGACGAAGGCCUGGGGGCGAAUAGUCUCCAGGUUUGACGGUACCACCAGAGGAAGCCCCGGCUAACUCCGUGCCAGCAGCCGCGGUAAUACGGAGGGGGCGAGCGUUAUUCGGAAUUAUUGGGCGUAAAGGGCGCGUAGGCGGCUUGACAAGUCAAAGGUGAAAUCCCUCGGCUCAACUGAGGAACUGCCUUUGAAACUGUCUGGCUUGAGGCCGGGAGAGGGUAGCGGAAUUCCCAGUGUAGCGGUGAAAUGCGUAGAUACUGGGAGGAACACCGGUGGCGAAGGCGGCUACCUGGACCGGUUCUGACGCUGAGGCGCGAAAGCGUGGGUAGCAAACAG